UACGUAGGGGGCAAGCGUUAUCCGGAUUUACUGGGUGUAAAGGGAGCGUAGACGGCGAUGCAAGUCUGAAGUGAAAGGCGGGGGCCCAACCCCCGGACUGCAUUGGAAACUGGCAUGCUAGAGUGCCGGAGGGGCAAGCGGAAUUCCUAGUGUAGCGGUGAAAUGCGUAGAUAUUAGGAGGAACACCGGUGGCGAAGGCGGCUUGCUGGACGGUAACUGACGUUGAGGCUCGAAAGCGUGGGGAGCGAACAGG
Molecule: ribosomal RNA, 253 nt
Filed under: uncultured Eubacteriales bacterium
Lineage: Bacteria; Bacillati; Bacillota; Clostridia; Eubacteriales
Description: uncultured Clostridiales bacterium partial 16S ribosomal RNA
Rfam family: Bacterial small subunit ribosomal RNA
Source: RNAcentral